This 229-nucleotide long non-coding RNA is filed under the name Carica papaya (papaya). RNAcentral's name for it is "long non-coding RNA (CPAP_LNC005665)". Lineage: Eukaryota; Viridiplantae; Streptophyta; Magnoliopsida; Brassicales; Caricaceae. The record is from RNAcentral.
ACUUGAUAAUUUUUCUACUUUGAACCUUGAGGACAAGGUUCUCCAAGGAGGGCUGGAUAAUGUUACGCUCCAAAGAUCUACGAGAUAACCCAAGAAGAAUAUCAAAUAUUCAGACAAAUGAAGAAACUGCAUCAUUUAUAAAUAACACUAGCGAUUACACUACCAUUUAUCAACCACCAACCAAUGCAGUAGUUAUUUUAAUUUGUAUAAUAGUUAUACUAAAGUAUAU